This 508-nucleotide ribosomal RNA is filed under the name uncultured bacterium. RNAcentral's name for it is "bacterial SSU rRNA". It matches the Rfam family "Bacterial small subunit ribosomal RNA", at positions 8 to 526 of the family's 1533-position model. The record is from RNAcentral.
AGAGUUUGAUCCUGGCUCAGGACGAACGCUGGCGGCGUGCUUAACACAUGCAAGUGGAGCGACGAACCAGGCUUCGGCCUGGGGCAAAGCCGCGAACGGGUGAGUAACACGUGGGUAACCUGCCCCGAUGACCGGGACAACCCGAGGAAACUCGGGCUAAUACCGGAUGUGGUCACUUCACAUCAGUGAAAUGACUAAAGAUAGCCUCGGCCUUCGCAUCGGGAUGGGCCCGCGGCGCAUUAGCUUGUUGGUGGGGUAACGGCCUACCAAGGCGACGAUGCGUAGCUGGUCUGAGAGGACGAUCAGCCACACUGGGACUGAGACACGGCCCAGACUCCUACGGGAGGCAGCAGUGGGGAAUCUUGCGCAAUGGGCGAAAGCCUGACGCAGCAACGCCGCGUGGAGGAAGACGGCCUUCGGGUUGUAAACUCCUUUUGGUGAGGACGAGGAAGGACGGUACUUGCCGAAGAAGUCACGGCUAACUACGUGCCAGCAGCCGCGGUAAUAC